CCUACGGGACGCAGCAGUAGGGAAUCUUCGGCAAUGGACGAAAGUCUGACCGAGCAACGCCGCGUGAGUGAAGAAGGUUUUCGGAUCGUAAAACUCUGUUGUUAGAGAAGAACAAGUAGGAGAGUAACUGCUCUUACCUUGACGGUAUCCAACCAGAAAGCCACGGCUAACUACGUGCCAGCAGCCGCGGUAAUACGUAGGUGGCAAGCGUUGUCCGGAUUUAUUGGGCGUAAAGCGAGCGCAGGCGGUCUUUUAAGUCUGAUGUGAAAGCCCUCGGCUCAACCGAGGAAGGUCAUUGGAAACUGGAGGACUUGAGUGCAGAAGAGGAGAGUGGAAUUCCAUGUGUAGCGGUGAAAUGCGUAGGUAUAUGGAGGAACACCGGUGGCGAAAGCGGCUCUCUGGCCUGUAACUGACACUGAGGCUCGAAAGCGUGGGGAGCAAACAGGAUUAGAUACCCCUGUAGUC
This 465-nucleotide ribosomal RNA is filed under the name uncultured bacterium. RNAcentral describes it as "bacterial SSU rRNA". It matches the Rfam family "Bacterial small subunit ribosomal RNA", at positions 338 to 795 of the family's 1533-position model. The record is from RNAcentral.